Molecule: ribosomal RNA, 415 nt
Filed under: uncultured eukaryote
Lineage: Eukaryota
Description: SSU rRNA
Rfam family: Eukaryotic small subunit ribosomal RNA
Source: RNAcentral
CAAUAGCGUAUAUUAAAGUUGUUGCGGUUAAAAGCUCGUAGUUGGAUUUCUGUUGAUAACGGCCGGUCCGCACUAUGUGCGUGUAUCAGGUUCGGUGUCGGCAUCCUCGUGGGGAUCGUUUCUGUGCUUGAUUGCAUGGGGCGGAAUUCACGACUUUUACUUGAGGAAAUUAGAGUGUUCACGGCAAGCUAUCGCUUUGAAUACAUUAGCAUGGAAUAAUAAGAUAGGACCUCGGUUCUAUUUUGUUGGUUUCUAGAGCUGAGGUAAUGAUUAAUAGGGAUAGUUGGGGGCAUUCGUAUUUAACUGUCAGAGGUGAAAUUCUUAGAUUGCGUUACGACGAACUACUGCGAAAGCAUUUGCCAAGGAUGUUUUCAUUGAUCAAGAACGAAAGUAUGGGGAUCGAAGACGAUUAGAU